Molecule: ribosomal RNA, 361 nt
Filed under: Lactobacillus sp.
Lineage: Bacteria; Bacillati; Bacillota; Bacilli; Lactobacillales; Lactobacillaceae
Description: bacterial SSU rRNA
Rfam family: Bacterial small subunit ribosomal RNA
Source: RNAcentral
AGCGGCGGACGGGUGAGUAACACGUGGGUAACCUGCCCAAGAGACUGGGAUAACACCUGGAAACAGAUGCUAAUACCGGAUAACAACACUAGACGCAUGUCUAGAGUUUGAAAGAUGGUUCUGCUAUCACUCUUGGAUGGACCUGCGGUGCAUUAGCUAGUUGGUAAGGUAACGGCUUACCAAGGCAAUGAUGCAUAGCCGAGUUGAGAGACUGAUCGGCCACAUUGGGACUGAGACACGGCCCAAACUCCUACGGGAGGCAGCAGUAGGGAAUCUUCCACAAUGGACGAAAGUCUGAUGGAGCAACGCCGCGUGAGUGAAGAAGGGUUUCGGCUCGUAAAGCUCUGUUGGUAGUGAAGAA